RNAcentral lists this non-coding RNA (29 nucleotides) under Mus musculus (house mouse). Lineage: Eukaryota; Metazoa; Chordata; Mammalia; Rodentia; Muridae. The record is from RNAcentral.
UACCCAGGAAUUCUGAUUUAUGAAGUGUU